AUUGAACGCUGGCGGCAGGCCUAACACAUGCAAGUCGAACGAGUGGCGGACGGGUGAGUAAUGUCUGGGAAACUGCCCGAUGGAGGGGGAUAACUACUGGAAACGGUAGCCAAUUCCGCAUACCAUCCGAUUUGCCCAGAUGGGAUUAGGUGGUUGGUGGGGUAACGGCUCACAAGGGCGACGAUCCCUAGCUGGUUUGAGAGUCAGACGGGCCAAACUGGAAUUGAGAAACGGUCAAGACUCCUACGGGAGGCAGCAGUGGGGAAUAUUGGAAAAUGGGGGAAAGCCGGAUGCAGCCAUGCCGGGUGUAUGAAGAAGGCCUUCGGGUUGUAAGGUACGUUAAGCGGGGAGGCGGUACCCGAAGAAGAAGCACCGGCUAACUCCGUGCCAGCCGCCGCGGUAAUAC
This 406-nucleotide ribosomal RNA is filed under the name uncultured bacterium. RNAcentral describes it as "partial 16S ribosomal RNA". It matches the Rfam family "Bacterial small subunit ribosomal RNA", at positions 29 to 526 of the family's 1533-position model. The record is from RNAcentral.